This is a long non-coding RNA of Neoarius graeffei (lesser salmon catfish), 816 nucleotides long. RefSeq lists it as uncharacterized. The record is from RefSeq and is a predicted model, not a curated record. Lineage: Eukaryota; Metazoa; Chordata; Actinopteri; Siluriformes; Ariidae. The transcript has 2 exons.
GUCGAUUUAUCACCGUUGAAUCAACGUGGGUAAAGGUUGAUCUGUCGACCGUCAGAGAAGGUUGAAUAUACGACGUUGAACCAUCGUCACUUUUGCCGGCCAGUUUUCAACAUUGGUAGGAGCAACUGGCCCGUAGCCAGGGGGGAUCGGAGGGUUCGUUCGAUCCCCCCCCCGCGACACCGCGCCCCGGACACACACGCCUCAAGAUUACUCAAGAUUUAUUCAUUUGUUCAUGUCCGAUGAAUAUACAUUGAUUCACAUUUAAAUUUACAAUAUCAAAUCCAGACUAAUCAAAAAAGAAAAGUAGACUAAGUGAGGACGAGUUAGAAAAACGGGUUCAUUUCUCCUAUGUUUAUGUUUACACGUUUUGUUCAGACUGCUUUACACCCCAAUCCAGUGGGUGGCGGUAAUGCCCCCAUUAGACCCCUUUCACUGACGUCACCCGAAACCGGAAGUAAACAAACCCUGCGCCACAUUGGAAGACCAACAAACUCGUGAUUAGGGGGAAAUAACGGCAGCGCGCGGUAUGUGAACCCACGAGGCACUUGGUUCAUCAAAAACCUACAAUGGUAAACUUUUGUGCUGUGUUAGGGUUCUAACAAAGCUGAUGGGAAAGGUGAAAAGAAGUCUUUCUACAGAAUACCAGCUGUGAUUGAGAUACAAGCAAACCAAGGAGCUUUCUGCCGGGAGACAGAGAGAGGAUUUAGCUGCUUUAUGCAGAGCGGAUCUGAAUACUUCAAGUCUAUUUUGUUACUGGUCUGCGCCGCAGGAGGAAUAGGCCACAAUUAUAAAUAAAUCAUAAAAUGUUUCUAAGAA